AGUCGAGCGGACAGAUGGGAGCUUGCUCCCUGAUGUUAGCGGCGGACGGGUGAGUAACACGUGGGUAACCUGCCUGUAAGACUGGGAUAACUCCGGGAAACCGGGGCUAAUACCGGAUGCUUGUUUGAACCGCAUGGUUCAGACAUAAAAGGUGGCUUCGGCUACCACUUACAGAUGGACCCGCGGCGCAUUAGCUAGUUGGUGAGGUAACGGCUCACCAAGGCGACGAUGCGUAGCCGACCUGAGAGGGUGAUCGGCCACACUGGGACUGAGACACGGCCCAGACUCCUACGGGAGGCAGCAGUAGGGAAUCUUCCGCAAUGGACGAAAGUCUGACGGAGCAACGCCGCGUGAGUGAUGAAGGUUUUCGGAUCGUAAAGCUCUGUUGUUAGGGAAGAACAAGUGCCGUUCAAAUAGGGCGGCACCUUGACGGUACCUAACCAGAAAGCCACGGCUAACUACGUGCCAGCAGCCGCGGUAAUACGUAGGUGGCAAGCGUUGUCCGGAAUUAUUGGGCGUAAAGGGCUCGCAGGCGGUUUCUUAAGUCUGAUGUGAAAGCCCCCGGCUCAACCGGGGAGGGUCAUUGGAAACUGGGGAACUUGAGUGCAGAAGAGGAGAGUGGAAUUCCACGUGUAGCGGUGAAAUGCGUAGAGAUGUGGAGGAACACCAGUGGCGAAGGCGACUCUCUGGUCUGUAACUGACGCUGAGGAGCGAAAGCGUGGGGAGCGAACAGGAUUAGAUACCCUGGUAGUCCACGCCGUAAACGAUGAGUGCUAAGUGUUAGGGGGUUUCCGCCCCUUAGUGCUGCAGCUAACGCAUUAAGCACUCCGCCUGGGGAGUACGGUCGCAAGACUGAAACUCAAAGGAAUUGACGGGGGCCCGCACAAGCGGUGGAGCAUGUGGUUUAAUUCGAAGCAACGCGAAGAACCUUACCAGGUCUUGACAUCCUCUGACAAUCCUAGAGAUAGGACGUCCCCUUCGGGGGCAGAGUGACAGGUGGUGCAUGGUUGUCGUCAGCUCGG
RNAcentral lists this ribosomal RNA (1022 nucleotides) under Bacillus amyloliquefaciens. RNAcentral describes it as "bacterial SSU rRNA". It matches the Rfam family "Bacterial small subunit ribosomal RNA", at positions 60 to 1063 of the family's 1533-position model. Lineage: Bacteria; Bacillati; Bacillota; Bacilli; Caryophanales; Bacillaceae. The record is from RNAcentral.